UACGUAGGGUGCGAGCGUUAAUCGGAAUUACUGGGCGUAAGGCGUGCGCAGGCGGUUCGCAAAGUCUGAUGUGAAAGCCCCGGGCUCAACCUGGGAACUGCAUUGGAAACUAACGGGCUCGAGUGUGGCAGAGGGGGGUGGAAUUCCACGUGUAGCAGUGAAAUGCGUAGAGAUGUGGAGGAACACCGAUGGCGAAGGCAGCCCCCUGGGCUAACACUGACGCUCAGGCACGAAAGCGUGGGGAGCAAACAGG
RNAcentral lists this ribosomal RNA (253 nucleotides) under uncultured bacterium. RNAcentral's name for it is "partial 16S ribosomal RNA". It matches the Rfam family "Bacterial small subunit ribosomal RNA", at positions 524 to 776 of the family's 1533-position model. The record is from RNAcentral.